UGGGGAAUAUUGUGAAAAGGGGGGGAACCCUGACGCAGCCAUGCCGCGUGAAUGAAUAAGGCCUUAGGGUUGUAAAGUUCUUUCGGUAUUGAGGAAGGUUGAUGUGUUAAUAGCACAUCAAAUUGACGUUAAAUACAGAAGAAGCACCGGCUAACUCCGUGCCAGCAGCCGCGGUAGUACGGAGGGUGCGAGCGUUAAUCGGAAUAACUGGGCGUAAAGGGCACGCAGGCGGUUAUUUAAGUGAGGUGGGAAAGCCCCGGGCUUAACCUGGGAAUUGCAUUUCAGACUGGGUAACUAGAGUGCUUUAGGGAGGGGUAGAAUUCCACGUGUAGCGGGGAAAUGCGAAGAGAUGUGGAGGAAUACCGAAGGCGAAGGCAGCCCCUUGGGAAUGUACUGACGCUCAUGUGCGAAAGCGUGGGGAGCAAACAGGAUUAGAUACCCUGGUAGUCCACGCUGUAAACGCUGUCGAUUUGGGGGUUGGGGUUUAACUCUGGCGCCCGUAGCUAACGUGAUAAAUCGACCGCCUGGGGAGUACGGCCGCAAGGGUUAAA
RNAcentral lists this ribosomal RNA (551 nucleotides) under uncultured bacterium. RNAcentral's name for it is "bacterial SSU rRNA". It matches the Rfam family "Bacterial small subunit ribosomal RNA", at positions 355 to 899 of the family's 1533-position model. The record is from RNAcentral.